CUUCAAAAUCCUUUUUAAUUUUUUAUUGAGACAGAAUCUUGCUAACUAGCUGAGAGUGUCCUUGAACGUGAAAUUCUCCUGCCUUGGCCUCCGAAGUCACUGGGAUUACAGGUGUGUGCCACCACACCUGGCUGUACCCAGGCUCUUGUGACCACUGAAGUAUACCCCAGCCUGCUACUGGGUCUUUAUCUAGAUUUAUAGCAAGGAAUAAAAUGGAUAUGUCAUACUCAAACAUAUCAUGUUUAGGUGAAAAAAUACAUCAAAACUUAUAAAAUGCUUUAUAAUCCACAAAGUAAUUUUAUAGUCAUUGUCUGAUUUGAAUGUUCUGAUAAUCACUGAGAAAUAAGCAGAACCAAUACUACAUGGAUUUUGUAGAAAGAAAACUGAUUGUGAUUUUCUAGUUUAGCACAGCAAAUGGUAAAGCUGGUUGUAAAUUCCAAACUUUUGAUCUGGCUACUACAAAUCCUAUACUUGGUUUUUCCAUAUUUGCCAAAUAUAACCUAUUUUACCCAGAAGGUGGCAGUGUUCCUACCUAACCCCAGAACUGGGGAUUGAAUUGAGGGCCUCAUGCAUGCCAGGAAAGUCCCCUGCUACAAGUGUUUCUCUUAAUAUUCAUUGAAAGUUCAUUUUCCUAUUUGAGGUACUUAAAAAGAGGUGAAAAUUACAUUAUUUUGACAGAACUUUUUUUUUUCUAACACGGUACUGGGGAUUGAACCUAGGGCUCUUGCACAUGCUAGGCAAUCACUUUACCACUGAGCUACACUCCAGCCCUUUUCAUUUUAUUUUGAGAUAGGGUCUUGAAAAGUUGUCCAGGCUGUCCCUGAACUUGAGAACCUCCCGCUUCAGCCUUCCCAGUAGCUGGGAUUGCAGAUGUGUAACACCACACCGCAGCAAAACAGUUUGCCUCAGAGAACAUUACUUCAUCAUAUGUUUUGAUGUUAAAGAUAAAGAUAUUAAUAAAAUCGGUGCCUAUAUUAUAGGAGUUCACAAUUUGGGAGGAAGAUGUGGAGGUGGGCACUGGAGAUUUAGCUCAGUGGUACACCACUUGCCUAGCAUGGAAGAUGCCUUCGUACAAUAAAAUGAAGAGCUAGUGCAGUGAAGAGGCUGAGGCAGAGAUCAUAAGUUUAUAGCCAAUCUGAGCAAUGUAGGGAGAUCCUGUCUCAAAAUAAAAAGGGCUCGGGGUAUAGGUCAAUAGUAGAACAUCUUUGGGUUCAAUCCCAGUACUGCCAAAAAAAAAAGGUAGAUGAACUAUCAAGCAAAGUUAAAAUACUUCAAAAAUUUCAAACAAAAAAAUUUUUUUUUUCUUGUGGUACUAGAGAUUAAACUGGGGUUGCUCUACCACUAAGCUACACCUCAUCCCUUUUUAUUUUGAGACAGGUUCUUGCUAAAUUGCCCCAGGCUGGCCUCAAACUUGUGAUCCUCCUGCUGCAUCCUUUUGAAUAUCAGGGAUUAUAUAUGUUACAGGAAUACAAAUUUAUAAUGAACCUCUUGAGAUGGUGCCUUUUUUUUCUUUUCUUUUUCUUUUUCUUGUGUUGGAAUAUCAGGCCUAAGGCUUAGUGCAAGCUAGGCAAGCACUCUGCCACUUAGCUACACCUCUAGACCCUUGAGGUAGUGUCUUGUGCACGUGCAUGUGUGUGUACAGUGUGUGUGUGUGUGUGUGUGUGUGUGUCCCUGUAGAUUGAACCCAGGAGUACUCUACCCCUAAUUUGUAUUUUAUUUAGAGACAGGUCUUGCUA
This 1736-nucleotide long non-coding RNA is filed under the name Marmota monax (woodchuck). The record is from RNAcentral. Lineage: Eukaryota; Metazoa; Chordata; Mammalia; Rodentia; Sciuridae.